GACGAACGCUGGCGGCCGUGCUUAACACAUGCAAGUCGAGCGGUAAGGCCCUUUCGGGGGUACACGAGCGGCGAACGGGUGAGUAACACGUGGGUGACCUGCCCUUAGCUCUGGGAUAAGCCUGGGAAACUGGGUCUAAUACCGGAUAUGACCUCAUGACUCAUGUUGUGGGGUGGAAAGCCUUGUGCGGCUAGGGAUGGGCCCGCGGCCUAUCAGCUUGUUGGUGGGGUAAUUGCCUACCAAGGCGACGACGGGUAGCCGGCCUGAGAGGGCGACCGGCCACACUGGGACUGAGACACGGCCCAGACUCCUACGGGAGGCAGCAGUGGGGAAUCUUGCGCAAUGGGCGAAAGCCUGACGCAGCGACGCCGCGUGAGGGAUGACGGCCUCGGUU
RNAcentral lists this ribosomal RNA (394 nucleotides) under uncultured bacterium. Its description in RNAcentral is "bacterial SSU rRNA". It matches the Rfam family "Bacterial small subunit ribosomal RNA", at positions 28 to 424 of the family's 1533-position model. The record is from RNAcentral.